UGGGGAAUAUUGGACAAUGGGCGAAAGCCUGAUCCAGCCAUGCCGCGUGUGUGAAGAAGGUCUUCGGAUUGUAAAGCACUUUAAGUUGGGAGGAAGGGCAGUAAGUUAAUACCUUGCUGUUUUGACGUUACCGACAGAAUAAGCACCGGCUAACUCUGUGCCAGCAGCCGCGGUAAUACAGAGGGUGCAAGCGUUAAUCGGAAUUACUGGGCGUAAAGCGCGCGUAGGUGGUUUGUUAAGUUGGAUGUGAAAUCCCCGGGCUCAACCUGGGAACUGCAUUCAAAACUGACAAGCUAGAGUAUGGUAGAGGGUGGUGGAAUUUCCUGUGUAGCGGUGAAAUGCGUAGAUAUAGGAAGGAACACCAGUGGCGAAGGCGACCACCUGGACUGAUACUGACACUGAGGUGCGAAAGCGUGGGGAGCAAACAGGAUUAGAUACCCCAGUAGUCCCUGAGCGGGCUGGCAAGGCGCAU
This 472-nucleotide ribosomal RNA is filed under the name uncultured bacterium. RNAcentral's name for it is "bacterial SSU rRNA". It matches the Rfam family "Bacterial small subunit ribosomal RNA", at positions 355 to 825 of the family's 1533-position model. The record is from RNAcentral.